RNAcentral lists this transfer RNA (88 nucleotides) under Actinomycetota bacterium. RNAcentral describes it as "Actinobacteria bacterium (sediment metagenome) tRNA-Leu". It matches the Rfam family "tRNA". Rfam says of the family: Transfer RNA (tRNA) molecules are approximately 80 nucleotides in length. Their secondary structure includes four short double-helical elements and three loops (D, anti-codon, and T loops). Further hydrogen bonds mediate the characteristic L-shaped molecular structure. tRNAs have two regions of fundamental functional importance: the anti-codon, which is responsible for specific mRNA codon recognition, and the 3' end, to which the tRNAs corresponding amino acid is attached (by aminoacyl-tRNA synthetases). tRNAs cope with the degeneracy of the genetic code in two manners: having more than one tRNA (with a specific anti-codon) for a particular amino acid; and 'wobble' base-pairing, i.e. permitting non-standard base-pairing at the 3rd anti-codon position. Lineage: Bacteria; Bacillati; Actinomycetota. The record is from RNAcentral.
GGGCGAGUGGCGGAACUUGGCAGACGCGCAGGAUUCAGGUUCCUGUGAGGGCAACCUCGUGGGGGUUCAAAUCCCCCCUCGCCCACCC